Molecule: ribosomal RNA, 395 nt
Filed under: uncultured bacterium
Lineage: Bacteria
Description: bacterial SSU rRNA
Rfam family: Bacterial small subunit ribosomal RNA
Source: RNAcentral
AAUAUUGCGCAAUGGAGGAAACUCUGACGCAGUGACGCCGCGUAUAGGAAGAAGGUUUUCGGAUUGUAAACUAUUGUCGUGAGGGAAGAAAAUGACAGUACCUCAGGAGGAAGCUCCGGCUAACUAUGUGCCAGCAGCCGCGGUAAUACAUAGGGAGCAAGCGUUAUCCGGAAUUAUUGGGUGUAAAGGGUGCGUAGACGGGAAAUUAAGUUAGUUGUGAAAUCCCUCGGCUUAACUGAGGAACUGCAACUAAAACUGGUUUUCUUGAGUACUGGAGAGGAAAGUGGAAUUCCUAGUGUAGCGGUGAAAUGCGUAGAUAUUAGGAGGAACACCAGUGGCGAAGGCGACUUUCUGGACAGUAACUGACGCUCAGUCCCGAAAGCGUGGGGAGCAAA